This 492-nucleotide ribosomal RNA is filed under the name uncultured bacterium. Its description in RNAcentral is "partial 16S ribosomal RNA". It matches the Rfam family "Bacterial small subunit ribosomal RNA", at positions 29 to 507 of the family's 1533-position model. The record is from RNAcentral.
AGUGAACGCUGGCGGUAGGCCUAACACAUGCAAGUCGAACGGCAGCACAGUAAGAGCUUGCUCUUACGGGUGGCGAGUGGCGGACGGGUGAGGAAUACAUCGGAAUCUACUUUUUCGUGGGGGUUAACGUAGGGAAACUUACGCUAAUACCGCAUACGACCUACGGGUGAAAGCAGGGGAUCUUCGGACCUUGCGCGAUUGAAUGAGCCGAUGUCGGAUUAGCUAGUUGGCGGGGUAAAGGCCCACCAAGGCGACGAUCCGUAGCUGGUCUGAGAGGAUGAUCAGCCACACGGGAACUGAGACACGGUCCAGACUCCUACGGGAGGCAGCAGUGGGGAAUAUUGGACAAUGGGCGCAAGCCUGAUCCAGCCAUACCGCGUGGGUGAAGAAGGCCUUCGGGUUGUAAAGCCCUUUUGUCGGGAAAGAAAAGCAGCAGGUUAAUACCCCGCUGUUCUGACGGUACCCAAAGAAUAAGCACCGGCUAACUUCGUG